UUGCAAAAACUGUGCUUAAAGACGAGAAAUAUGGAACCGAUGUAAUCUCCACAAGGUGAUCGGUUUCGGGCACGUCAUGACUCCCAUCGUGAAAAUCAUAAACAGCAUCCGCUACAGAGCUAAACAGCACAGAACAUUCAAGAUCCUAUUGGAGGAGCUGUCAGAUGAAUAUGGUGACCUGCUACUAUACACGGAAAUCCGAUGGUUCAGCAGGGGACGAAUUUUGUUUCGUUUUUUGUCACUUUUGGGUGAAAUCAAGGAGUUCAUUCAGUCCAAAGGCGAAGACACCUCGCUGCUGGAGGACAUUGAGUGGACACUUGACCUUGGAUUUUUAACGGACGUUACUGGGAAACUGAACCAUUUGUAAACCAAAGACAGACUCAACAUGAACAGCAACAUCUUCACUUGAUGUGUCAUCUGUCGUGCAUGGCAUUGGCCUUCUGGAAAGAGCAUCAGCUACAGCCAGCGUUUUUCCAGCUGACGCUGCUGCAAGGAGCUGCCUCCGCUGGAUGGUUAAUGCCUAUCGUGGUGGUGAUUAGGACAGGCACUGUAUUGUCGUGUACAGUUUUCAGUCAAGCCGGAGACCUGAGUGAGCAGGAGCGUGUGCAGAAGACCAACUGGAGAGUUGGUGAACAGAACGUCACCAUUUGAAAUCUCACUGAGAGAGCAACCACUUCUGUCUUCAGCCCAGGAGGGGGAAGUUACUAUGCCCUCCCUCUAGCAUCAUCAUCAGUGUUGCUGUGGACACAUCUGGAAACAGGCCAAGGCAGUUCUCCUCCAUACCCUGGAUGAAAAUCGCUGCUUGGCUGAUUGCAAAAAGGUCCCAGCUCAACAACGUAUCCCUGGGCAAAUGGUUUGGCUAUUCUUCUGAGACAUGAUGCUUAAAUGCAUUUCCAGAAAGCAAGUUCCCAGGCACAUAAUUAACCCUUCCACUGUCCAUCACAAGCUCCUAAGAAGACACAUCAAUAAAGUAGUGCAGCGAACUUCACACCGCCUCAGAAGGGCUGAGCAAGUUCACCUCAAGUCUCUUCAAGCCCUGGAGGUCUACUUUACUCUCUGGAUUCAACUUGUUUUCCCGCUGUUGCCAUCACCUCUGUGACUGAGCUGCAUCCAGGGUUCACGCAUUAAUCAGAAGACACACUUCUUAAAAAGGCAAAAAUCAGCUGUGCAUAAUUGAUGCACAAUUGGAAAGUAAAGCAGACAUUAAAGAGCAAAUACAAACGGCACUCUUUUACUCCCGGGUUGUCACAUUCAGUUUCCUCUGUGCACAUCAGAGAGAAACAAAAUAGGGCAGACGUGAUUUGAUUUCAUGACAUCUGUUUCACUAAUUACAGCAGUAUGUCU
Molecule: long non-coding RNA, 1344 nt
Organism: Oreochromis niloticus (Nile tilapia)
Lineage: Eukaryota; Metazoa; Chordata; Actinopteri; Cichliformes; Cichlidae
Exons: 7
Source: RefSeq, a predicted model, not a curated record